GAACAGGUGUAUGGAGGUGGAAGUCGCUAGGGGCUAGGUCUGGAGAAUAGGGUGGGUGAGAAAGAAGUUCAUAGCCACAUUCGCGCACAGCGUCCAUGGCA
Molecule: long non-coding RNA, 101 nt
Organism: Thalassophryne amazonica
Lineage: Eukaryota; Metazoa; Chordata; Actinopteri; Batrachoidiformes; Batrachoididae
Exons: 3
Source: RefSeq, a predicted model, not a curated record